UGAUGCAGUGACAAAUCACAUCAAUAGAAGC
Molecule: non-coding RNA, 31 nt
Filed under: Mus musculus (house mouse)
Lineage: Eukaryota; Metazoa; Chordata; Mammalia; Rodentia; Muridae
Source: RNAcentral